GUUUUAUUCAAAGAUACAGGGAUGAAGGAUAUGCAUGUCCACCUGUCCCUCCCAUGGCUGCUCCCACUCCGCCCUGAGAAAGAGCUUUCCACAGAGAUGGCGGGGGCUCAGGGGAAGUUUCAUUUCAAGUGUACUCACGCCAGGUGGAUUUCGGUAUUUUCUCUGUUUUGUAAUCACGGAUCUGUUUCCGAUUUACAGUGUAAUACCUCCAGCAACACCAUCACACCAGGUAAAAAUCUAAAAAUUAACAUUCGUUCUCAGCUUCUUAAUGUCCUCAGAAUGUAUUCUUCAAGUCUCACAUGAUUGGGAAGUUGUUUUUGUAAUUUACUGGAAUUAGUUAACUUUCUCAGAUCUGUGUACCCUCUCUACUCACACACGAGGCUUCAUCUAUUUUGUUUAUGUCAGUGUUGGGUUUGUUUGACUUUGUUUUCUGUCUUGAAUUCUGCCACCAUUAGAUCCUGUUUUCCUACUUAUCCACCCUGCUUUCCUCUUCCACCCG
Molecule: long non-coding RNA, 499 nt
Filed under: Fukomys damarensis (Damara mole-rat)
Lineage: Eukaryota; Metazoa; Chordata; Mammalia; Rodentia; Bathyergidae
Description: lncRNA (ENSFDAG00000021735.1)
Source: RNAcentral